Molecule: ribosomal RNA, 482 nt
Filed under: uncultured bacterium
Lineage: Bacteria
Description: partial 16S ribosomal RNA
Rfam family: Bacterial small subunit ribosomal RNA
Source: RNAcentral
AUUGAACGCUGGCGGCAUGCUUUACACAUGCAAGUCGAACGGUAACAGGCCGCAAGGUGCUGACGAGCGGCGAACGGGUGAGUAAUGCAUCGGAACGUGCCCAGUCGUGGGGGAUAACUACUCGAAAGAGUAGCUAAUACCGCAUACGAUCUAUGGAUGAAAGCGGGGGACCGUAAGGCCUCACGCGAUUGGAGCGGCCGAUGUCAGAUUAGGUAGUUGGUGGGGUAAAGGCUCACCAAGCCAACGAUCUGUAGCUGGUCUGAGAGGACGACCAGCCACACUGGGACUGAGACACGGCCCAGACUCCUACGGGAGGCAGCAGUGGGGAAUUUUGGACAAUGGGCGCAAGCCUGAUCCAGCAAUGCCGCGUGCAUGAAGAAGGCCUUCGGGUUGUAAACUGCUGUUGUACGGAACGAAACGGCUCUGGUUAAUACCCGGGGCUAAUGACGGUACCGUAAGAAUAAGCACCGGCUAACUACGUG